AGAUAUUUUUAUUCCAUUGAUCAACAAUAACAUCACAUAAAAUCUGAAUUAUAACAAUAAAUCAUAAUAUAAUACAUGAUCAUAUAUAGUCAUUAAAUCAUAGUCUAACAAUAAGGAAAAUUAUAAAUAUCUAAUACUAGGAGACACAAUAUAAUAUCCUUGACAUAAUAUUGGUAAAUACAUCUGAUGGGAAUAGUAUAAUAAACAUAUAAUUCAGUCUAGAAACAUCAAGGAUUUAAUUCCUGUAGGAGGUAGGCUUUCAAAUUUUAAUAGACAAUUUUAGAGAUAUCGGAGAUUUCUAUGUUAACCACACAUUACUCAGACCUAUCAGACAUACCUAUUGAACAUUUCAUAUGAUUUUUCUGGUCAAAGGGAGAUAACCGAAUUUUAAUAAUUUCCCCACACCCUUGCAAAUACAUUAUACGUAUGUAUAAUUGGUCAAAUAAGUAAUAGUAUGUCUGGACUUUUCUUAUAAGUAAUCUUGAAAGUGUAAAAGAGAUAUGCCAGUAAUAGAAUAUACAAGAUAAGAAUAGUAUAUAACAAAUGUGCAGAUCUUUAGGGUAAAUUUUAAAAAUCACUAUCUAGGAAAUUAAAGCUACAUUAACUUAUAUAAGAAUUAAACUACAGUAGUUUUAUUCCACAUGUUGUCCUAAAAAUCUUUGACUGUUUUUCCUAAGAUGUAAAAGAUAAAUAUUAAUUAAACUAUUUAUUAAGAAUAAAUACAUGUAUAUAUGAUUUUUUAAAACCAUUAUGUCUAUUUAUAGGGAAUACAGACCAACUCCUUUGUAUAAUAAGCUUUCUUGUCAGAUCUUAUUUAAGGGGGGUUAGUUUGGUUCAAUGUUAGCUUUCCUUAGGUAAACUGCUGGUCAACUAUGUAAAUUCAGAAAUUAGAGUUUUUAUAAAACCAAAUAGUACAACAGGGUGAUUUUUGUAAUAUCAAAGAAUCACAAUUAUUAAACAUACAUUUUUGUCCAUUAUUAAAAAAUUGCAAUAUAUAUGCAGUUAUUUCUGAUUUACACUAUUUGUUUCAAAUUCAGCUUUCAUAAACAAUAUUUUGUAAUAACAUUCGCCAUCUAUAAUAGCAUGAAGUUAUUGAGGCAAAUAAAUUAAUAAUUUAGUAGCAAUUAAACACUCCUAAAGGGAUUUUCAUAAUGCAAAAUUGGUAAAAAGUAAAAACACAAAAAUACUGAACUCCGAGGAAAAUACAAAAUGGAAAGUCCCAAAUCAAAUGGCAAAUUCAAAAGUUCAAACACAUCAAACGAAUGGAUAACAACUGUCAUAUUCCUGACUUGGUACAGGCAUUUUCUUAUGUAGAAAAUGGUUGAUUGAACCUGGUUUUAUAGCUAGCUAAACCUCUCACUUGUAUGACAGACUUGUAAACUAUAUUCUCUUAGAUCAAAUUUUGUAUUGGAUAGACAGUCAUACAUCUUUU
Molecule: long non-coding RNA, 1432 nt
Filed under: Mytilus galloprovincialis (Mediterranean mussel)
Lineage: Eukaryota; Metazoa; Mollusca; Bivalvia; Mytilida; Mytilidae
Source: RNAcentral